UACGUAGGGGGCAAGCGUUGUCCGGAAUCAUUGGGCGUAAAGAGCGUGUAGGCGGCUCGGUAAGUCCGCUGUGAAAGUCCAGGGCUCAACCCUGGAAUGCCGGUGGAAACUGUCGAGCUAGAGUCCGGAAGAGGCAAGUGGAAUUCCUGGUGUAGCGGUGAAAUGCGCAGAUAUCAGGAGGAACACCAAUGGCGAAGGCAGCUCGCUGGGACGGUACUGACGCUGAGACGCGAAAGCGUGGGGAGCAAACAGG
Molecule: ribosomal RNA, 253 nt
Filed under: uncultured bacterium
Lineage: Bacteria
Description: partial 16S ribosomal RNA
Rfam family: Bacterial small subunit ribosomal RNA
Source: RNAcentral